Molecule: ribosomal RNA, 419 nt
Filed under: bacterium
Lineage: Bacteria
Description: partial 16S ribosomal RNA
Rfam family: Bacterial small subunit ribosomal RNA
Source: RNAcentral
UGGGGGAUAUUGCACAAUGGGCGAAAGCCUGAUGCAGCGACGCCGCGUGGGGGAUGAAGGCCUUCGGGUUGUAAACUUCUUUUGCUCUGAACAAGGCAUGCUAAUGGGUGUGUUGAGUGUAGGGGUUGAUUAGCGCCGGCUAACUACGUGCCAGCAGCCGCGGUAAUACGUAGGGCGCGAGCGUUGUCCGGAAUUAUUGGGCGUAAAGGGCUUGUAGGUGGCUGGUUGCGUCUGUCGUGAAAGCUCAUGGCUUAACUGUGGGUUUGCGGUGGGUACGGGCUGGCUUGAGUGCAGUAGGGGAGGCUGGAAUUCCUGGUGUAGCGGUGGAAUGCGCAGAUAUCAGGAGGAAUACCGGCGGCGAAGGCGGGUCUCUGGGCUGUUACUGACACUGAGGAGCGAAAGCAUGGGGAGCGAACAGG